AUGGCAGCAGAGACACUCAACUUUGGGCCUGAGUGGCUCAGGGCCCUGUCCGGGGGUGGCAGCGUGGCCUCCCCACCCCCGUCCCCUGCCAUGCCCAAAUACAAGCUGGCUGACUACCGUUAUGGGCGAGAGGAAAUGCUGGCUCUCUACGUCAAGGAGAACAAGGUCCCGGAAGAGCUGCAGGACAAGGAGUUCGCCGCGGUGCUGCAGGACGAGCCACUGCAGCCCCUGGCUCUGGAGCCGCUGACUGAGGAGGAACAGAGAAACUUCUCCCUGUCAGUGAACAGCGUGGCUGUGCUGAGGCUGAUGGGGAAAGGGGCUGGCCCCCCCCUGGCUGGCACCUCCCGAGGCAGGGGCAGCACGCGGAGCCGAGGCCGCGGCCGUGGUGACAGCUGCUUUUACCAAAGAAGCAUCGAAGAAGGAGGCGGAGAAGCUGGUGGCCUCUCUGCAGGACAGCUCCUUGGAGGAGGAGCAGUUC
This 478-nucleotide small RNA is filed under the name Pan troglodytes (chimpanzee). RNAcentral's name for it is "processed transcript". The record is from RNAcentral. Lineage: Eukaryota; Metazoa; Chordata; Mammalia; Primates; Hominidae.